AUACGGAAGGUCCGGGCGUUAUCCGGAUUUAUUGGGUUUAAAGGGAGCGCAGGCGGAGAUGCAAGCGUGACGUCAAAUUUCGGGGCUCAACCCCGUCUCGCGUCGCGAACUGCGUCCCUUGGUUGCGGGAAGGGGAGGCGGAACUCGUGGUGUAGCGGUGAAAUGCAUAGAUAUCACGAAGAACUCCGAUCGCGAAGGCAGCCUUCCGGCCCGUCAACGACGCUCAUGCUCGAAGGUGCGGGUAUCAAACAGGAUUAGAUACCCUGGUAGUCCGCACAGUAAACGAUGGAUACUCGCUGUCGGCGAUAUACGGUCGGUGGCCAAGCGAAAGCGUUAAGUAUCCCACCUGGGGAGUACGCCGGCAACGGUGAAACUCAAAGGAAUUGACGGGG
This 392-nucleotide ribosomal RNA is filed under the name uncultured bacterium. Its description in RNAcentral is "partial 16S ribosomal RNA". It matches the Rfam family "Bacterial small subunit ribosomal RNA", at positions 523 to 918 of the family's 1533-position model. The record is from RNAcentral.